CAGGUUACACUCGUCGGUUCACUUGAAAUGCCUAAAGCUGAUUUCUGGGUUAUGAUUGCCAUCCUUUCUGCUCUGGCUGGAUAUUGUGCUAAGAUCUAUUUCUCAUCAAGGAGGUCAUAAUCGCAUACUAUAUAUUGAUGGAAAAUGGAAAGGUUACUGUUGAGGAUCUUGAUUUGCAAUGCGAGGAGCUAAUCCAGGAAGAGUUUGGUUUGCAAUGUAAUUUUGAGGUGAUGGAUGCUCUUCAAAAGUU
Molecule: long non-coding RNA, 250 nt
Organism: Triticum dicoccoides
Lineage: Eukaryota; Viridiplantae; Streptophyta; Magnoliopsida; Poales; Poaceae
Exons: 3
Source: RefSeq, a predicted model, not a curated record